GCUACGGGUGGCAGCAGUGAGGAAUAUUGGUCAAUGGGCGCGAGCCUGAACCAGCCAAGUAGCGUGAAGGAUGACUGCCCUACGGGUUGUAAACUUCUUUUGUCGGGGAGCAAAAGACGCCACGCGUGGCGUUCCGAGAGUACCCGAAGAAAAAGCAUCGGCUAACUCCGUGCCAGCAGCCGCGGUAAUACGGGGGAUGCGAGCGUUAUCCGGGUUUCUUGGGUUUAACGGGUGCGCAGGCGGAAGAUAAAGUCAGCGGUAAAAUUGGGAGGCUCAACCUCCUCGAGCAGUUGAGACUGGUUUUCUUGAGUGAGUGAGAAGUAUGCGGAAUGCGUGGUGUAGCGGUGAAAUGCAUAGAUAUCACGAAGAACUCCGAUUGCGAAGGCAGCAUACCGGCGCUCAACUGACGCUCAUGCACGAAAGUGUGGGUAUCGAACAGGAUUAGAUACCCCUGUAGUC
Molecule: ribosomal RNA, 459 nt
Filed under: uncultured bacterium
Lineage: Bacteria
Description: partial 16S ribosomal RNA
Rfam family: Bacterial small subunit ribosomal RNA
Source: RNAcentral